UUUUUAUUCAUCAACUUAGGCUGUUGUACAGUAUCUUAGAUCCCUUUAUGGAUCUGUCAAUUUGUUGCAUCACCUUUUGGUUGUCAUUCCUAUGUUCUUAACCCCUAGUUCUUGCAUUGCAGAAGAAUCAGACAAAGUGGCCAGCAAGGGAUUUUCAUUUGGAAGUUAUUUGCCUGAUUGUUCAUCUUUACGGAAAGUUUAUACUAUCUUUUUCUAUGAAUGAGGGAAUGAAAAAAUAAGGAUGGGAUUACAUAGAGGUUGGACUCAAUGGGGUAUUAAUUUGAGUAACAAUUGAUCAAAAUAUGAAUUGGUUACUAUGACCAUACUAUGACUGAGUGACUAUGUCUACCUUCUCUCGGUUUUGUUGGUCUCAAAUAAAUAAUGCUUUGAUACAUGAUUUACUGGUUAAUGCAUUCAUGAACAGGAAGACAAAGAGUUACUCGAGCAGCAGAUGCAUGACAUGGCUGUAGUGAUUGAGAAAUUGGAAAGCAGUAGACAAAAGCUUUUAAUGGAGAUUGAUUCCCAAUCUUCGGAGAUAGAAAGGCUUUUUGAGGAGAACUCUAAUUUAUCUAGUUCUCAUCAGGAGGCUAUGAGCAUAGCUGUCACUGGGAGAAUCAGGUACAUUUGGUGGCUGAAUUGAUGACAAUUGACAGAAUAUAGCUUUGUUCAAGGAACUCUGCCUUUGCGUAUCUGGCUGACUGUGCAUCUAUCAGAUGAAUUAUUUUUUUGUAGUAAUAUUUUGUCGUUUACUUUCCCAUUAACUAGGCUCAAAAAACUGUCGGUUGUGCAUGAAAAUGGGUGAUAUUGUUUAAGCUACUUUUGCUGAUAUAUUGGUGAAUCCAUCUAA
RNA transcript from Fragaria vesca subsp. vesca, 847 nucleotides. RefSeq lists it as uncharacterized. Lineage: Eukaryota; Viridiplantae; Streptophyta; Magnoliopsida; Rosales; Rosaceae. The record is from RefSeq and is a predicted model, not a curated record. The transcript is spliced from 2 exons.